GGAUCACCUGUUCCCCAUUGCACAGUUAAUACCACAAGGAAUUGAAGUCUCAUUUCCUGGAAAUCCAGGGCUGGACGGCAUCCAUCCUUCAAAUGAGCCCCUAGAGAGAAGACGUGGAGACCGAACUCCCAACUCAGGUUUCCGGGGGAUGCGUAUUAGACCCCCGGCCUGGAAGCUGAGGUCACGGAUUACUUUCUCAUUGCCGUCAAGGUUCUAGAGACCAGGCGACCAGGACGGAAGACGUUUGGAGCACGUGAAGACCAUGCUGUGCGCAGAGACGUCACUUCCCGCAGGACACCAGUGGCAGUUGUCGGGGCUGGGACUUGCCUUCCUGUGGCUUUAUGAGACCCCAGCAUCACAAUGAGGAUUAGAAUUCAUGGUUACAAGCGAGACAACAUCCAGGACUCUUAGAAAGAAUCUGUGAGUUGAGGAAGGGACUGAAGCCCUUUGUGAAGAG
Molecule: long non-coding RNA, 457 nt
Filed under: Equus caballus (horse)
Lineage: Eukaryota; Metazoa; Chordata; Mammalia; Perissodactyla; Equidae
Description: lncRNA (ENSECAG00000053166.1)
Source: RNAcentral